CUACCAUGCAGUCGAACGAUGAGAGGGAGCUUGCUCCCUGGAUUAGUGGCGAACGGGUGAGUAACACGUGAGUAACCUGCCCUUGACUCUGGGAUAAGCACUGGAAACGGUGUCUAAUACCGGAUACGAACUUCAGCCGCAUGGCUAGGAGUUGGAAAGAAUUUCGGUCAAGGAUGGACUCGCGGCCUAUCAGCUAGUUGGUGAGGUAAUGGCCCACCAAGGCGACGACGGGUAGCCGGCCUGAGAGGGUGACCGGCCACACUGGGACUGAGACACGGCCCAGACUCCUACGGGAGGCAGCAGUGGGGAAUAUUGCACAAUGGGCGCAAGCCUGAUGCAGCAACGCCGCGUGAGGGACGACGGCCUUCGGGUUGUAAACCUCUUUUAGUAGGGAAGAAGCGAAAGUGACGGUACCUGCAGAAAAAGCACCGGCUAACUACGUGCCAGCAGCCGCGGUAAUACGUAGGGUGCAAGCGUUAUCCGGAAUUAUUGGGCGUAAAGAGCUCGUAGGCGGUUUGUCGCGUCUGCUGUGAAAACUGGGGGCUCAACCCCCAGCCUGCAGUGGGUACGGGCAGACUAGAGUGCGGUAGGGGAGAUUGGAAUUCCUGGUGUAGCGGUGGAAUGCGCAGAUAUCAGGAGGAACACCAAUGGCGAAGGCAGAUCUCUGGGCCGUAACUGACGCUGAGGAGCGAAAGCAUGGGGAGCGAACAGGAUUAGAUACCCUGGUAGUCCAUGCCGUAAACGUUGGGAACUAGAUGUAGGGUCCAUUCCACGGAUUCUGUGUCGCAGCUAACGCAUUAAGUUCCCCGCCUGGGGAGUACGCCGC
RNAcentral lists this ribosomal RNA (826 nucleotides) under Glaciihabitans sp. Its description in RNAcentral is "bacterial SSU rRNA". It matches the Rfam family "Bacterial small subunit ribosomal RNA", at positions 49 to 889 of the family's 1533-position model. The record is from RNAcentral. Lineage: Bacteria; Bacillati; Actinomycetota; Actinomycetes; Micrococcales; Microbacteriaceae.